Molecule: microRNA precursor, 90 nt
Organism: Chlorocebus sabaeus (green monkey)
Lineage: Eukaryota; Metazoa; Chordata; Mammalia; Primates; Cercopithecidae
Source: Ensembl
GGGGAAGACGUUGCACUCGUCUCAGUGAGAGAUGCUUCUAGUUCCAGGAGGCGGACCUCAAGGAUGGAGAGAAGGCAGAUGUUUUGAGAU